CCUACGGGUGGCAGCAGUGAGGAAUAUUGGUCAAUGGUCGGGAGACUGACCCAGCCAAGCCGCGUGAGGGAUGAAGGUACAGAGUAUCGUAAACCUCUUUUGUCAGGGAACAAAGGCGGGGACGCGUCCCCGGAUGAGUGUACCUGAAGAAAAAGCAUCGGCUAAAUCCGUGCCAGCACCCGCGGUAAUACGGAGGAUGCGGGCGUUAUCCGGAGUUGUUGGGUUUAACGGGUGCGCAGGCGGUCUGUUAAGUCAGCGGUCAAAGCCCGGGGCUCAACCCCGGCCCGCAGUUGAAACUGGCAGUCUCGAGUUGGAGAGAGGUGUGCGGAAUGCGCGGUGUAGCGGUGAAAUGCAUAGAUAUCGAGCAGAACUCCGAUUGCGAAGGCAGCAUGCCGGCUCCACACUGACGCUGAGGCACGAAAGCGUGGGUAUCGAACAGGAUUAGAUACCCCAGUAGUC
This 459-nucleotide ribosomal RNA is filed under the name uncultured bacterium. RNAcentral's name for it is "partial 16S ribosomal RNA". It matches the Rfam family "Bacterial small subunit ribosomal RNA", at positions 338 to 795 of the family's 1533-position model. The record is from RNAcentral.